Molecule: ribosomal RNA, 253 nt
Filed under: uncultured bacterium
Lineage: Bacteria
Description: partial 16S ribosomal RNA
Rfam family: Bacterial small subunit ribosomal RNA
Source: RNAcentral
UACGUAGGGGGCAAGCGUUGUCCGGAUUUAUUGGGCGUAAAGAGCGUGUAGGCGGCUAUACAGGUCCGUUGUGAAAACUCGAGGCUCAACCUCGAGACGCCGAUGGAAACCGUAUGGCUAGAGUCCGGAAGAGGAGAGCGGAAUUCCUGGUGUAGCGGUGAAAUGCGCAGAUAUCAGGAGGAACACCCGUGGCGAAGGCGGCUCUCUGGGACGGUACUGACGCUGAGACGCGAAAGCGUGGGGAGCGAACAGG